GCAUAGGUGGUUCAGUGGUAGAAUUCUUGCCUUCCAUACAAGGGAUCGUGGUUCAGUUCCUGGCCAGCGCA
RNAcentral lists this transfer RNA (71 nucleotides) under Loxodonta africana (African savanna elephant). It matches the Rfam family "tRNA". Rfam says of the family: Transfer RNA (tRNA) molecules are approximately 80 nucleotides in length. Their secondary structure includes four short double-helical elements and three loops (D, anti-codon, and T loops). Further hydrogen bonds mediate the characteristic L-shaped molecular structure. tRNAs have two regions of fundamental functional importance: the anti-codon, which is responsible for specific mRNA codon recognition, and the 3' end, to which the tRNAs corresponding amino acid is attached (by aminoacyl-tRNA synthetases). tRNAs cope with the degeneracy of the genetic code in two manners: having more than one tRNA (with a specific anti-codon) for a particular amino acid; and 'wobble' base-pairing, i.e. permitting non-standard base-pairing at the 3rd anti-codon position. The record is from Rfam by way of RNAcentral. Lineage: Eukaryota; Metazoa; Chordata; Mammalia; Proboscidea; Elephantidae.